This 459-nucleotide ribosomal RNA is filed under the name uncultured bacterium. RNAcentral's name for it is "partial 16S ribosomal RNA". It matches the Rfam family "Bacterial small subunit ribosomal RNA", at positions 338 to 795 of the family's 1533-position model. The record is from RNAcentral.
CCUACGGGUGGCAGCAGUGAGGAAUAUUGGUCAAUGGCCGAGAGGCUGAACCAGCCAAGUCGCGUGAGGGAAGACGGCCCUACGGGUUGUAAACCUCUUUUGUCGGGGAGCAAAGCGAGUCACGUGUGACUCAUUGAGAGUACCCGAAGAAAAAGCAUCGGCUAACUCCGUGCCAGCAGCCGCGGUAAUACGGAGGAUGCGAGCGUUAUCCGGAUUUAUUGGGUUUAAAGGGUGCGUAGGCGGGACCUUAAGUCAGCGGUAAAAUUGCGGUGCUCAACGCCGUAGAGCCGUUGAAACUGGGGUUCUUGAGUGAGCGAGAAGUAUGCGGAAUGCGUGGUGUAGCGGUGAAAUGCAUAGAUAUCACGCAGAACCCCGAUUGCGAAGGCAGCAUACCGGCGCUCAACUGACGCUGAGGCACGAAAGUGCGGGUAUCGAACAGGAUUAGAUACCCCAGUAGUC